RNAcentral lists this ribosomal RNA (279 nucleotides) under uncultured bacterium. RNAcentral describes it as "partial 16S ribosomal RNA". It matches the Rfam family "Bacterial small subunit ribosomal RNA", at positions 506 to 784 of the family's 1533-position model. The record is from RNAcentral.
UGCCAGCCGCCGCGGUAAUACGGAGGGUGCAAGCGUUAAUCGGAAUUACUGGGCGUAAAGCGUGCGUAGGCGGUUUAUUAAGUCAGAUGUGAAAGCCCCGGGCUUAACCUGGGAACUGCAUUUGAAACUGGUCAACUAGAGUAUGGUAGAGGAAAGUGGAAUUUCUGGUGUAGCGGUGAAAUGCGUAGAUAUCAGAAGGAACAUCAAUGGCGAAGGCAGCUUUCUGGACCAAUACUGACGCUGAGCUACGCAUGCGUGGGUAGCAAACAGGAGGAUAUU